Molecule: long non-coding RNA, 504 nt
Filed under: Ananas comosus (pineapple)
Lineage: Eukaryota; Viridiplantae; Streptophyta; Magnoliopsida; Poales; Bromeliaceae
Description: long non-coding RNA (ACOM_LNC026135)
Source: RNAcentral
GAAUAAGAUCAUCUACGAAUGAAGGUCCUAAUAUAAAUCGAGAAGAAUCUGUUUCGACGAAUUGACGAAGGAUAGUAUAAUCGAGAAAAGGAGAUGAGGGAAGAGGAGGAAAUAGAGCUAUUAGUUAAAAUGAAAAAGAAAGAGAAGAAGAUGGAAAGAAGAAGUAAUAGAAGGAAAUCCCAGACGAGGAUGAAGAAGAAAGGAAGCGUAAGGAAGAAGAAAAUAAUGAAGAAUGGAAGGUGAGAGAAAGAGAGAAGAGAAGGAGAGCUAUCAGAUGGAAUUUCGAAAAACUGGCUUUAAUAGUGAAAAGGCGGCAGCAAUAAAUGACCUAAUUAAUGCCUCAGAAGAGACAAAAAGAAUGUGGAAAAUUGUGGCCGUCAAAAGUGAAAGGACGGCUGAGAAAUGAGAUGGUACAAGGCAAUUCGAAAUGAUGAUUUCGAAAUUUGCGCCUGUAGAGAGGAUUACGCCAGCUAUCGAACUGCUUGUUCGGGUGCUGUUGAGGGG